RNAcentral lists this ribosomal RNA (372 nucleotides) under uncultured Eubacteriales bacterium. RNAcentral describes it as "bacterial SSU rRNA". It matches the Rfam family "Bacterial small subunit ribosomal RNA", at positions 1017 to 1382 of the family's 1533-position model. The record is from RNAcentral. Lineage: Bacteria; Bacillati; Bacillota; Clostridia; Eubacteriales.
CCUUCGGGGUACAGCGGACACAGGUGGUGCAUGGUUGUCGUCAGCUCGUGUCGUGAGAUGUUGGGUUUAAAGUCCCCGCAACGAGCGCAACCCUUGUCUUUAGUUGCCAUCAUUAAGUUGGGCACUCUAAAGAGACUGCCGAUGACAAAUCGGAGGAAGGUGGGGAUGACGUCAAAUCAUCAUGCCCUUUAUGUCCUGGGGCUACACACGUGCUACAAUGGUCGGUACAACGAGAAGCAAGUCAGCGAUGGCAAGCAAAUCUCUAAAAGCCGAUCCCAGUUCGGAUUGCAGGCUGCAACUCGCCUGCAUGAAGUCGGAGUUGCUAGUAAUCGCGGAUCAGAAUGCCGCGGUGAAUGCCGGUUCCCGGGUCUU